GGAUGUGAGGGCAAUCUGGCUGCGACAUCUGUCACCCCACUGAUUGCCAGGGUUGAUUCGGCUGAUCUGGCUGGCUAGGCGGGUGUCCCCUUCCUCCCUCAACGAUCCAUGUGCAUCCCUCCUGAAGCUGCACGCUUGGUCGAAGAGGACAACCACCCCCAAUAGAGGAGGACCAUUUCUCAGUCAAGCGUAUACGAGUAGCUGCGCUCCCCUGCUAGAACCUCCAAACAAGCUCUCAACUUACAGCAAUCAUCUUGCCUCAGCCUUUUGAAUGUUGUGAUCACUGGCAAGCACCACCACACCUGCAUCAUGAGUUAUUUUUGAAAAUGUUUGGUGAUCAUUUAG
RNAcentral lists this small nuclear RNA (345 nucleotides) under Octodon degus (degu). RNAcentral describes it as "7SK RNA (ENSODEG00000022839.1)". It matches the Rfam family "7SK RNA". Rfam says of the family: 7SK was discovered as an abundant small nuclear RNA in the mid-70s but a possible function has only recently been suggested. The record is from Rfam by way of RNAcentral. Lineage: Eukaryota; Metazoa; Chordata; Mammalia; Rodentia; Octodontidae.